This 253-nucleotide ribosomal RNA is filed under the name uncultured bacterium. RNAcentral's name for it is "partial 16S ribosomal RNA". It matches the Rfam family "Bacterial small subunit ribosomal RNA", at positions 524 to 776 of the family's 1533-position model. The record is from RNAcentral.
UACGGAGGGUGCAAGCAUUGAUCGGAAUUACUGGGCGUAAAGGGCGCGUAGGCGGUUCAGAAAGUCAGAUGUGAAAUUCCGGGGCUCAACCCCGGAGCUGCAUUUGAAACUUCUAAACUAGAGUUUAGUUAGGGAAAACGGAAUUCCACGUGUAGCGGUGAAAUGCGUAGAUAUGUGGAAGAACACCGGUGGUGAAGACGGUUUUCUGGGCUAACACUGACGCUGAGGCGCGAAAGCAAGGGGAGCAAACAGG